Long non-coding RNA from Oreochromis niloticus (Nile tilapia), 1230 nucleotides. NCBI's taxonomy places the organism in Eukaryota, Metazoa, Chordata, Actinopteri, Cichliformes, Cichlidae. The record is from Ensembl.
AUGUCAAAAAUGAGUGACCAACAAGCAAAACUAGAAUUUGUGUGCACUCUGCCAAAGAGUACACUGGGCGACCUGGAGGUCGAGGAGGAAGAAAAUUUGAAAGUCCUGGAAGAGCAGAAAGUGGUGAAGGACACAAAAGAAAUGCAGAAAAAAGUGGACGAGCAGACAGAACAAUUAGCGGAGGCUGAGACAGAGACAAAAGACACGGCAACCCCAGAUUCCUCUUCAAAGUUUUGUGUCAACAAAGUUGUUCAGUUGAUGGUUUCAAACGCCACAGAAAAAGCUGAACUGAACCAAGUGAAAAAUGCACUUGAAGAAACGACCAAACUGGCAAAGAAAGAGUGUGAAGAGGCAACAAAAGCAGUGAAUGAAGUGCAGACGGCACUGUCAGAGGAGAAGACAAUGGUAGAGGAUGCAAAGAAACAAACUGAACAGGAAAAACAAGUGUUAGAAGAAGUGCAGUUUGUAUUCAAAGAUGAGAUCAACCAGGCUGAAAUAUCAGCUUUGGAAAAGACACUGAAGCUGCAGAAAAAGGUGCGCGUCAACUGGGUUAUUCAGUUGGUGGUUUUACUGGCCAAAGAAAAAGUCUCCUCCAAAUACAAGAUCUUCACAGAGCGCCUCACUCCUGACUGCAUCAGCGAUCGUCUGAUUGAGAAAAUCUGGCCUGAAGUUGAGGAGAAACACUUGAAUUUAUCCCACGACAGCAUUUUUAAUCUGGGAAAGGCCAUUGUCAAGGAUCUUUGCAAAACACACAACUGCAAAGAAAACCUUUUGAUUUUUAAUCUGAGGGAACAGCUUGACAAUAUUACCGUCUCAAUCUUCACCAAACACCUGUUGGCAUUACCAGCAAGAGUGCUCAGUGUCUCUAAAGACAGGCAAGAGUACAAGGAAGUUGUAAAGAAUGUGACCAAAGAUCUGGUAAUGCACGCCAUGAGCGAAGGAAAUGAGACGAUGACGAUGAAUCCAGUAGCAUCCGAGUUUAUUGUAGAGAGGCUUUUCCAGAAGAUCUGGAACAAAAUUUUGUCAAAAAAGUACAAAAUGUCCUUGGAGAACAUUGAACAACUCGCCCUGAGAGUAUACAAUGAACUCCAUGACAGGUGGGACUCUCCAAUACUCUUAAUGUGGUCAAGAAACCCAGUAAUGGAUGAAGCAAUCGUCAGCAGCUUCAAAAAACAUGCAAAACUGAGGAGCCAAAAUGUCAUCUUUAGGGCUUUCUCAUGUGCACGCUAA